GAUGAACGCUAGCGGCAGGCCUAACACAUGCAAGUCGAGGGGCAGCACAGAAAUUCAGCAAUGAGUUUUGGUGGCGACCGGCAGACGGGUGCGUAAUACAUCGGAACGUACCCAGUCGUGGGGGAUAACGUAGCGAAAGUUACGCUAAUACCGCAUACGUCCUGAGGGAGAAAGCGGGGGACCGUAAGGCCUCGCGCGAUUGGAGCGGCCGAUGGCGGAUUAGCUGGUUGGUGGGGUAAAGGCCUACCAAGGCGACGAUCCGUAGCGGGUCUGCAAGGACGGCCCGCAACACUGGAACUGAGACACGGUCCAGACUCCUACGGGAGGCAGCAGUGGGUAAUUUUGGACAAUGGGCGAAAGCCUGAUCCAGCCAUUCCGCGUGAGUGAAGAAGGCCUUCGGGUUGUAAAGCUCUUUCGGCAGGGAAGAAACGGCUUGGGAUAAUACCCCGGGCUAAUGACGGUACCUGAAGAAGAAGCACCGGCUAACUACGUGCCAGCCGCCGCCGUAA
This 509-nucleotide ribosomal RNA is filed under the name uncultured bacterium. RNAcentral describes it as "partial 16S ribosomal RNA". It matches the Rfam family "Bacterial small subunit ribosomal RNA", at positions 28 to 523 of the family's 1533-position model. The record is from RNAcentral.